GAAACCGGCGGGUUAGGACGUCAACAACAGCCAACAAAUUAUUAGAAAUGAAGACCAUUUGUGAAAUGAAGAUUUUCAGGUUCCUGGCCACAUAUGUUCUCAUGUAUUUUCGAACGGACUUUCUCUGACUGUUGACCGCGGAAAACCGUGAACGAGGUUAUCAGAGAGCUGCGAUAAGAGAGGAAAACGGAGAGGAAGAGAAGCAGCCCGACGCGGUGUGAAGGAAUGGAAUAAACCCCAGAGCAGAACCAGAGGAAGGAGGGAUGACUGCCGUGAGAUGAAAGAGGGAUAGAGCAGGACACAGAACAACUCGAGAGACCAUUCAGCUGUGAAGAGACAGAAGAAGCCAGAAGAUCACACAAACACCCAAAGGUGAGAUGCAGAGGACGAGACCAAGAGGAAGCAGAGAAGAUGUCUGCAUUAAUUUCCAAGCGUUCAGUCUCUCUACAUAUAUUUCACGUGGAUGCAGUACCCAACUCUCACCUCUGGGGGUCACUACUGUCCUGCCCUGGAGGCCUGAGCUGCCUUUCCCCCUCGGCCAGCUCCACUUCCUCUUCACCUGCCACAUGAUCAUCACCCUGUACUUUCCUUUCACUUCUGGCUUCGCACGUGUAUGCCUCCGCCUCCAAGGGGAUGGCGUUCUGGAAGCAGUGUAAAAGAGAUGACGCCCUCCUCGGCCUUCCACACCUGGAAGAUGUACUGCACCCUGGAGCACAGUCUCUGUCGCAAAAUGGUGGGAAAGACAUGGACAUACACUUGCUAUUGUAAUAUAUUUUAUUUGCACAUUCAUAGUCAUUGUCCUUUGCAAUACAAUUAUACAACUUAAUUUGUAAACUUAAGGCAAUGAGUGUAAGGGCUGCAGUGGUUUAUCAUAUAAACACACAAAUCAAAUCAAAUCAAAUUUAUUUAUAUAGCCCUUCGUACAUCAGCUGAUAUCUCAAAGUGCUGUACAGAAACCCAGCCUAAAACCCCAAACAGCAAGCAAUGCAGGUGUAGAAGCACGGUGGCUAGGAAAAACUCCCUAGAAAGGCCAAAACCUAGGAAGAAACCUAGAGAGGAACCAGGCUAUGUGGGGUGGCCAGUCCUCUUCUGGCUGUGCCGGGUGGAGAUUAUAACAGAACAUGGC
Oncorhynchus tshawytscha (Chinook salmon) is the source of this 1126-nucleotide long non-coding RNA. The record is from Ensembl. Lineage: Eukaryota; Metazoa; Chordata; Actinopteri; Salmoniformes; Salmonidae.